This 1674-nucleotide long non-coding RNA is filed under the name Ananas comosus (pineapple). RNAcentral describes it as "long non-coding RNA (ACOM_LNC028121)". The record is from RNAcentral. Lineage: Eukaryota; Viridiplantae; Streptophyta; Magnoliopsida; Poales; Bromeliaceae.
CGGGGAUUUCUUCGGACCCCAAAUCAAAUUUGAAAAUCAAAUCCAAAUCAAAAUUAAAAUAGGGAUUUCAUCGGACCCCAAAUUGGAAUCAAAACGGGGAUUUCUUCGGACCCCAAAUCAAGAUCAAAACGGGGAUUUCUUCGGACCCCAAAUUAAAUCGAAUCAAACGGGGAUUUAUUCGGACCCCAAAUCGAAUUGGAAAAUCAAAUCCAAAUCGAAAUCAAACGGGGAUUUCUUCGAACCCCAAAUCAAAUCAAAUUGGAAAAUCAAAUCCAAAUCGAAAUAAAACAGGGAUUUCUUCAGACCCCAAAUCGAAUUGGAAAAUCAAAUCCAAAUCGAAAUCAAACGGAAAUUUCUUUGGAUCCCAAAUCAAACCAAAAUCAAAAGGGGAUUUCUUCGGAUCCGAAUCAAAUUGCAAAAUCAAAAGAGGAUUGCCUCGAACCCGAAAUAGAAUUGAAAAGAAAAUCAAGUUCACAUACGAAUCCAAAUCCGAGUCAAGUUCACCUACAAACCUAAAUCAAAUCAAACCCAAACCUAACCCAAACCAAGUCCACAUAAGAACCCAAACUAAAUCCACAAAUAAACCCAAACCCAAUCCAAAUCAAGUCCACAUAAGAACCCAAACCAAAUCUACAAAUAAACCCAAACCAAAACCAAACCAAGUCCACAAAUAAACCCACAAAUAAACACAAACCCAAAACCCAAAUAAACCUAAACCCAAAACCCAAAUAAACCCAAACUUGAACCCAAAUAAAUCCAAACCCAAACCAAUUCCACACAUAAAACCAAAACCCAAACCUAAAUCAAAUCCAAACCGAACCUAAACCAAGUCCACAAAUAAAACCGAAACCAGAACCCAAAAUCAAACCCAUCCCACAAAUAAAAUCAAAACCUAAACCCAAAUCAAAUCCAAACCCAACCCAAACCAAGUCUACAAUCCAAAUUCAAACCCAAACCCAAAUCCAACUCCAAUUCGGACCACGAAUACAACCCAACUCCAACUUCCAACUUGGGCUCAUGAACCAAAACCAAAUCUCACGGACCAAAUCCCAUGAACCAAAAUCAAAUCUCAUGGACCAAAUCCCAUGAACCAUAGCCAAACCUCAUGGACCAAAUCCCAUAAACCAAAACCAAACCUCAUGGAGCAAAUCCCAUGAGCCAAAACCAAAUCUCAUGGAGCAAAUCCCAUGAGCCAAAAUCAAGUUCAUGGACCAAAUCCCAUGAACCAAAAUCAAGUUCAUGGACCAAAUCCCAUGAGCCAAAACCAAAUCUCAUUGACCAAAUCCCAUGAAUCAAAACGAAACCUCAUGGACCAAAUCCCAUGAGCCAAACCAAACCUCACCCAAACCUCAAGGACCAAAUUCCAUGAACCAAAACCAAACCUCAGGGACCAAAUCCCAUGAACCAAAACCAAACCUCAUGGAGCAAAUCCCAUGAGCCAAAACCAAAUCUCAUGAACCAAAUCCUAUGAACCAAAAUCAAAUUUCAUGGACCAAAUUCCAUGAACCAAAACCAAACCUCAUGGACCAAAUCCCAUGAACCAAAACCAAAUCUCAUGGACCAAAUCCCAUGAACCAAAAUCAAAUCUCAUGGACCAAAUCCUAUAAACCAAAACCAAAUCUCAUGGACCAAAUCCUAUAAACCAAAACCAAAUCUCAUGGACCAAAUCCCAUG